This 328-nucleotide long non-coding RNA is filed under the name Numida meleagris (helmeted guineafowl). RNAcentral describes it as "lncRNA (ENSNMEG00000006781.1)". Lineage: Eukaryota; Metazoa; Chordata; Aves; Galliformes; Numididae. The record is from RNAcentral.
CUGCAAGUGAGAGCAAGUAGAAACUCUGCAGGGAUCCUGUUUUUGUGAAGCUGUUUUUGAACUGUAUCUACCAUUUAAUUACUGAAGUACCUCCAUCAGUGUGAAUACAGUUGACAGAGGUCUUACCUCCCUUCCAGUGUGUUUCAUUACUACCAGUCUCUCUUCUAAGCAUGAGGACCAAGGGCCUACUCAAUUCUAGGGUCUUCUUACUACAGAAUCCUGAAACUUGCCUGAAAAAUUCAAAUGGUACUUCGUCUGAGAAAUCAGCAUUUGCCUUUGUAAAUGUCCAUUCUGCUUUAAGUUUUGUAUCUGAAAAUCCUUAUCUGCC